UUCAGUGUGGAUCGUUGACCCUGGAGUAUUACUAAUAUAGUAAAUAUUUCUUACUUAUGACGUGUAUAAAAUCCAGAUUUUGACGCGUUGUUCUGCUUAGUCAAUAACAGUAUUACCAUACGUAGAAUUGUCAUAAACUGACUGUUAUUGGAUACCUGAGGGUCAUAUGAGGGAAGGCUGGAAGACGAGAGGCUUCUCUGCAGUCGUAGUCGCUCAAACUAUCACAAAUUGAUUGUUUGAUUAGUUUGAAUAACGACAAUCAAGGCUGGUCAGGGUAUGCGGGCGCUGUCCUAUAGCGUAGAGGACUAAGCAGUUUGGAGAAGAGCCAGUGAACGUCGCAAUCUCGCUAUGAUCGGCUCCAAAGAUGGCGGCUCCAGCAAGAGUAACGUGUCGUCGUCGCCUUCCAAGCACCUGGGCAGGUCGUCCUCGGUGCCAACGGAGCGGCCGCCCCUUACCCACCAUCACCACCACCACUCCUCCCCCUCCCAGCCCUCCAAGCUCUCCUCCAGUACCUCCUCCCUCAACACCUCUCCCGCCCACCUAGUCAAAUCGGCCUCCACCUCCACCCUCACCUCCGCCACCAACACCUCCACUACCACCAGCUCCUCGUCGUCCACCUCCAACCUGACCAGCGGCGACCAUGGACGCACCCGAGUUACCGACAGCGCCAAGGACUCAACGCUCGAGAACGUCAAGGACGAAUAUUGCG
Molecule: long non-coding RNA, 709 nt
Organism: Homarus americanus (American lobster)
Lineage: Eukaryota; Metazoa; Arthropoda; Malacostraca; Decapoda; Nephropidae
Exons: 3
Source: RefSeq, a predicted model, not a curated record